Molecule: long non-coding RNA, 38862 nt
Filed under: Cinara cedri
Lineage: Eukaryota; Metazoa; Arthropoda; Insecta; Hemiptera; Aphididae
Source: RNAcentral
GAUGCUCUCGCGCUGCGCACACUGUCGGGUGCUCGUGACGGUCAGGUCCUCUCGUACGCGUCGCCGUCUCCGCGUUCUCGAUACGUUUAACAACGGUUCGGCGGUUGCAUCGUAACGGCGUUUACCCCGUGUCGUUUUCGUCCGGCGUUACUGUCGCGCGCCCACCGACACGUUAUACCGUAGUUUUUUUUUUUUGUUUUUUUUUUUUUAAAUUUUUUUUUCUCGUCUCGGCCGUUUUUUUUUUGUCUCUCCGGAAAAUUAUUUCGCGAGUGCGAGUUUCCCGCGCAGUGUCGGCGCCGGACGCGCGGUAAAGCGUUCAUCGCCCGACGACGACCGUUUUCGCGAACACCGCGUGCCGCGUGCACGGGCGAACGGGCGACCAACAGUACAUCGCAGACGCGGUUUUCACACGAGUGAUGGUGCCGGAGCCCUGCGUCGCCGUCGCCGUGAUCCAGGUUAGCGGCUAAAUAUUACCGGUACCUACCACCGGGGUCAGGCACGGUCGGGUUGUGCACCGUCGGCAGUAUUUUACCGGCCGAAAGACGCGUCCGUCGCGACGGCGUCCCGGGGCGGGCGUUGAAAUUCGAUUCGGGGCCGUGAACGCGUCCGUCUCAGACGCGUACGUCUACACUCGGACCAGGCUCCGUGAAUUUGUUUCGGGGGGGGGGGAGGAAACCGAAUUGCUCCGGGCCGCGACCGACGUGUUUCGGAACACCAGCGAUCGCCGUCAAACGCGAUUCCAAAAUGCCGGUUUUUACGGUUAUUGCGGGCGCACGGUAUUGGCCGGGGGGGUGCGUUGCUUUAAAAAAAACCGAUCGGCAGCAGUCUACGCCGUCGUCGGCAAUUGUUUUUCGACGUUCCCGCAGUCGACGCGGUUAUUCACGCGAAUCGUCAUAAUUUCGGGCGAGAAAAAUAACAACAAAUGAAUUCGCAAAAACGUUUUUCGAUCGUUUCUCUGCAUUUGUCAUUAUUAGAUCCGAGUAAACAACAACAAUAACAGUGGUCGUUCGUCGAAAUCGCUAAAACUGCGCGUUUACAAUAUUUACGGCGUUUGCCGUUUUCGGUUUGUUAUGAGCGGGCCGUUGUUGUUUUUCAAGUUUUCUCCCCCGGUUUUUCGUCCGGAAAAACACUAGGCUCUGUUUUAACACGAUCCCGGUACGACCCGCGGUCAUUGCGCGCCGCGUGCUCGGCCACCGAAGACUCGCGGGCGCGCCGCCGUCGUUACGCAGUUUUGCGCGACGCGAGUUCCACGAGUCCGUUGCGAUUUCUACAGGGACCGUAACCGCGGUAUAAUGACAGCGUUACGCGUCGGUCUUCAAUAUCGAUCGCGAUAGCCAUUGCGCGAUGUGGUUUCAAAUAAUUAUAAUUUUUAUUUAUUUUUUUUUUUUUAUUGUAUCCGCUCGUCGUCGUUUCAUGCGUGUAUUCACGUUCGACGCAUCACGUCGGGGGCGAAACCGUGUAUUUUCAACGUUUUUACGAAUCGAAGAAAAAAACAAAUGAAAACAUCAUAGAUAACGCACGCGUUAAAACCGCACACUGUAUCGUGCGUGCAUAUAUUAUUACAAUUUUUUUUUUUUUUUAAAUCUAUUUACUUUUAUAAUGUAAAUUAGAAACGCGGAUAAUAUACGGACGUAUAACGCGGACAUGGUAAAUAUUUGAAUUUCGAAUACAUUACUGCGCGUACGUAUACGCAAGCACGCACACACACACACACAGACGCAUAUACACGCACAUUACCUGUACUGAAAUAAUAUCAGUCGUAAUACGAAAUUUAUGUCUUCAUUCAUUCGUCCGUUCGUAUGCAUAAUAUGUAAAUAAUUUAAAACGUUUCUAUUCGUUUUAUUGAUCAAAGUGUUAUCGGCUGCACGGGUAUUGUAAUAAAAGAAAGAAAUAUUUUACAACGCUAAGGAUUUCGUCCCCGGUUUUUUUUUUUUUUUUAUGUCUUAUAUUAAAUAUUUUAUUCUCGACUCGUUUUUAAGUACCUAUAUUAUAAUAUUUUAAAAAUUACGCCGCUACAUUAUCGUUUGGUAUUCUUCGAGUAUUCGAUUAUACAAACAAACGAAUUAAGUUUUGAAAACACGAGUACUCGGUACAAGUUUUGAUAAUAUAUUUGACACUAAUGUUAUUUAGACCACGAAAAUCAAUGGGAAAAAUGCUGAAUAACGACUUGAGCCCUCUUCUUCGCCGGAUCAUAGAAAUAUUUACACGGUUUCAUCAACAAAGUCCGCCGUGUUGUGAUAUGCUCUAGAAAAUUAAGCUCGUUCGCCGUCAUAAAGUUUGAGAAGGUUAGACUUGUAGAAUGUAUUUUUAAGUUGUAAUUUUCGUAACUAUUCAGUUUCGGUAUAUCACCAGAUCUUCAGGUUACUGAUUACAAUGUUUUCGGUAUGAUUACAUAUUAAUAAAAAAACAAACUUACAAACUUAAAUUAAAAAUAAAAUACAAAAACGUUAUAAAACGAAUUUAUGUAAGUGUCUCUCUAAGUCUCCAAGUCUUUUUAAACAAUUUCUUUUUUUUUUGUUUGUAUUUAUAACAAGAGCGUCGAAAUCUCCAGCACACAAUCAUUAUGCUGUUUUAAUCUCUUUUUACCGCGCGUCCCUCCCGAGUAGUCGCACGGGCACCUCAAAAGGAAUGCCGAUAAUAUAUUUUGAAUUUAUUUCGUUUUGAGUUUUAUAAUACUGCGGGUAUUCGAUAUUAUUUUUAUCGGUAACAGAUUUAAAAAAAAAACAAAAAUAAUCAUUUCAUACGGAUUUGUCGCCCCUCUUUUUUUAAAAGGUUGACGUUAAAUUCGACCACGGACCCGAAUACCCAUUGUAUAAUUUAUUUUCGAUAUUUAAUUUUUCGACCUCUGGUUUGAACCACAAAUCUGAAAACGGUGUAAACUCGAAACGUGUGUGAUGUUUCAAUACAAUAUUGUAUAAGUCAUUAGAUAGAGCACGCGAACAAAUUUCGACGGUAGCUGGCGGGGUUGAACUCCCGAAACCCCCCUCAGGUACGGCUUUUUUUAGUGAUUAUACAAGUAUCAUUUUCUCUAUAAUCAAACGGAUUUUGAACGCGUACAGUUAUUGUUAACAGUUUUGAGCGGAGCGAGGUGUAGGUUUUACUGUGUGUGUUAUUUUUCAGUCCCCGAACAAAUCGCCGAUUAGAAAUCUGGCUCUAAUCAAAUAACGACAAGACAGAUUUUUUUUUUUUUUUAUCUCCAUAGCGUUUUCGACGUAAUUGGUGUACUUGGGUGGGUCGUUAUCGAUUUCUUUAGUAGUUUUCAUUUCACACGGGAAAAAUCGAAAGGACCGAAACACGUGUAGAGGAAUAACAAACACAUUUAUCCGCAUUAACGAUUUCGUUAUAGUUUUUUUCGCCAUCGGGAGGCGCCACUAAAGCGGACUGUUUUUCCGGCCGAGUCGAACUCGGCCGUAUACUUCCUUUAUCCCCGGCCGUUGUUACAUUGCGGACGAAUGUGAAUCGUCAUAAUUUAUUUACGAUCGGCUAUUGUCUGCCGUAAUGAUACCUACCUAAAAUAAUUACAUACAAUUUAUUUGACGAACAAUAAUGUUAUUCUAAAAAAAAAAAACACUUUUUCCGUCUAUCUCCGUGCGUAAUCUAUACCGACACAAAUACAAAUAAUAAUAAUAAUAGUAGAUAGGUAUUGCACCCCGAAGGUCGUUUUACAGCUGUGUUUCGUAUCACAUAUAUUAUUAUUAAUUAAUCAGCUUUUUAUUUAUUCGUUGAUGAGUUAUCAUCAUCGUAAUGUAGACAAUGAAUCAAAUAAUAUCAUGAUUUACUUUCUUUUUUUUUUUUUUUUGUUUUUUUUUUGUUUCUAGUUAUUCUCAUAUUACUCAACGUAAUCUACAAACUACACGCGGCCACAAUAAAGGAUAAUAACCGUAAUGUUCGAAUUAUUAUUUUUUAUUUAUAAAAUGAAUAAUACACACGAGUGCAGUAAUAUUAUAUGAUUUAUAGGUUUUUUAAAAAAAAAAUAAUAAUAAUAAUAAUGAUUUAUUUGUACACAAUAAUGGUUAAAAUAGUAAAAUAUAAAUAAUAAUAAUAACGAUGGCCUCCGUUUAUCGCCGAUAUUUGAUGAAAAAAAAAAAAUAAAAAAAAAAAGUAAUAAUAUUAUUAUGAUUCAGUAUUUUAUUAUUGUUGUACAUAAUACGUAUCUGGAAAAGGAAAGUUUAAAUUUUUUAUUUACAGACGAACAUUUAUUUCUUAGGUUCUGUGUGCAUAACAAGUUAUUAUAAUCGUACUAUAUCAAGGUUUGUUUAUUUUACGAAAAACGUAUAUUGUUUUUUUUUUUUGUUAUAUUCAUAAAUAUGCUUCAUAUUGUUCACGUUGUGCUUUAAGAUCGACCGCAUUUGAUUUCAUUUUUUUAGAUUCCCGAUAUUUUUACCGAAAUAAAAUUUAAAAAAAAAAAUAAUAAUAACAACCAACAGUAAACGACGAUAAGUAUAAUAUAUCGGUUUUAUUUUACAAACGAAUGUCGUAUCCUCCUGGUUUCAUUUGAAAUGUUUGUAGAGUGUGAAAAUCUAAAAAAUCGCCCUACCGGCAACAAUAUACGGUUAAGUUCAUAGUGAAAUUCAACCAAACUUUUAUCACUUCAACCCGCUUGCAAAAAAACACGCGAUUCCCGAGUUUGAGUUCACGGAGUUCUGGUGGAAAAGUUUUCGCAGGAAAAAAAAAACACAUCACUGUAAGACCAAUACGUCCCAUUAUACGUUCCGUUCGGAAUCUGAAAAUAUUCAAAAAAUUUAUUGAAAAUUGAAAAAAAUCAUUUUGUUUCCAAAAGUGCGAUUUUUCUAACGUCGAGCCCUCGAAAACCGUAAUAUUAUUGUGAAACAUUUUUUUAAAUUUUUUUUUUUUGACGGACCUUAUUGCACCGAGCCACAGAUAUAUCAUGGCGAACAAUAUGCAGUAUGCAAUAUACUGCAAUAUAUGUCUAUAUUUUCGGAGAAAAUUCGACAAAAAACGAUUUACGGUUACGCAAUGGUAUAUUAUAUUAUUAUUGUAUGUAAACUGUAAAUUGUGUAAAUCGUCGGUGUUUAAAACAUAACAAAUGCAAGUGAAGUUUUUAACCAGUGGCGUGCCCGGGAAUAAUCAAUUGCGAAGGGAGGGGGGGGAGGGAUGUAGCAAGCGAGAACCAUGAAUAAAUCACGAAUUCGUCUUCUCUACACAAAUCGACUGCGGGAAUCGGUAAUUUAAAAACCGGAUCCUAAAAAAUGACAGUUUCCGAUCAGUACGUCAAGUUCAUACUCGCGACUUGGCCGAAAUAUAUGCAUUUCGACAUUUAGAUUACUCGUAUUUUUCUUGUAUUUUAAGCCGAUAAUGAGGGUUGGGGAUAUAACCCCUAACCUCCGCCAUCCUCCCGCGCACGCCACUGUUUAUAGCCAAUCGCAGGUAAUCGCAGGUUGGAUUUAUUCGACGGUUAUUAUGUUGAAUGAUUCAUCGCGUACCUAUCAUAUUUUUCCUCGGCCGUUCGCGAUUGAAUAAUAAUAUUUUAAAAAUACCCGCACGUACCCAUACGCACUUGGGUAUAGACGAUUGUUUUUUUUUUUUUUUUUUUUUUUUUUUUUAUAUGAAGGACGACCGACUAUUCAUCGAUCGCGCGUAAUAUUUUGAAUAUUAUAAUAUGUGCCGUGUAAGCUCGAAAUUCUCCGCACAAACCGUUUGUUUUUACGCCGCGAAAACCGUGCAGCGUUCCAAAUGUAUUACCGUCGGAUAAAAUACCCGUCCCAUGUGCUCUAUCGUUUUCCAAUCCGAUCGUUUCACCUUUCAUCGCUCGAUUCAAACGCACGCGAUCUCACACGCACUACGCAAUAAAGUACGUCACGAUACGACGUAAAUACUGUUGUCGAAUUUCGCAUCAAUCAGAGGCGUAAUUACGGGGGGAGAUACGGGGAAUAGAUCUCCCCUCCGCGAACCGUAUUUGUAUAGUAUGUUGUUAUUUUAUACAGAUUCGAAGUUCAAAUGCGAAUUUUCCAAACUAUUGCGAUAUUAUAAACGUUUAAUUCGUAUUUCAUUAUUGUACCAGGCGAACGAUAUUCGAAACAGUAUUUGUGUCAAAGUAAAUCGCGAAUUUCUUCACGCUGAGCUUUACAUACCGCGCGUUCGAACGUGAUUAGGACGUUGCGAUUUUAAAAACGCAGACGUGCAGUUUAACAGAAAAUAUCCGUGUCCUGGUGAUGAGUUAUUACACGUCGGUAAGGGGAGGGGGGAGGUUGUAUGGGGCUAACUUGCCGCGAGAGUGCCGUGAAGAUUUAUUUUGAAACCCCCCCCCCCUCCUUCUAUCCCCUUUAAAACAUUCUCGCCUCUGGCGCCCUUGCAUACGCAUACGGAUAAUACAAAAUAGGUGUAAUGUAUGUACACACGAAAUGAUUUUUUGUAAUAUUAUUAUCAUCUUGGUACGUGCUCGACCUGUACAUUGUAUAUAUUUUAUGAGCAUGGCCGUGUUAAGCCAUUUGGCGCCCAGGGCAAUCAAUUUUUACACGUCCCUUCUUAAGAACUUAAGGACUUACCCGGGGAUGAUUUAGAGGGGUUGAUUCUUCCAAAUGUGUGUGUUUUUUUUGUUAUUUUAUUAAACCCACAGGUAUUAAAAUUUUAAUUAAUUAAGAUGCUUUCUUACUCUAAAUAUUUUUCUAGGUAGAUACACACAUUUCGUUACUAGGCUGUACUUUUAUUAGUUAACAACCGAUAUUCAACAAUAUUAUUAAAUCAAAGCGUUUGAAAAUAAAACAUAAUACAAUAAGUGACAUAAUAAUAAUGAUACCGUUAAUUUUAUUACGAGUUUUAUACUGAGCCGGGCGCCUCGUAGUUUUAAAAAGGUUCGGCGUCCCGAGGCAAAUGCUCCCAUUGACCUCCCUUCCCUUUUCACAGCUUUGUUUAUGACUCGAUAUGACAUAAAAACGGUCUUUGAAUAGAGAAAUAUUAGUUUAAUGGUUUUAGUUUGCGGUUGUUCAAUACCCCCGGGGAAAUUGUCAAUAUUUUAUUUGGCGGUAAUAUUUUGCAUUUGAUUUGAAAAAAAAUUAUUUAUCAUGUUUACCUAUUUCGUAUACCCGUUUAUCAUUGAAAUUAAAAUCACAUUCAUGUCCCGGGCCGUGUUUGAAUAUCCGGAGUAAAGUAGAGCGAGUGUCGAGCAGUAUAGCAAUACUAUUGCUAUCAAUCGAUUAUAGUAUCCGCGUGGUUAACGUUGAUAAUAAAUGACGAUAAUUAUUGUUUCCAAUCAAAUUAACGGUUUUCGUUUAAACAGUUUCGUUAAAAAUUCCAGGGAGGAAGGGUAGGAGAGAUCCGCGAGAAACGGGAACGACAAAUUUACUUGAAAACAGACCAACGAUUAAAAUAUUGUUACAUUAUAGAAACUGUGCGGUCGCGUCCACGUCAAUAAGAUCGUCGGAAAACGGAAAUCGAAUGGUUCUGGACCGCUAGCGCUUGUGUAACAACGGCGUGAGAGAAUUCAGAAUUCCCCCAGCGCGCGUUUCGACGUUACGCGCGUAGAGAAAUAUCAAUCGGCGCGGAGUGCGACGCGUCAGUGCGUUCGUAUGGACCGGCGGUUUCAACUCGGCAAACGCCUUUAUCGCACGCCGUCGGGUAACCCCAAUGGAAUCUGUAGAAUCGAACACUUUUAAUUUUAUAUUAACCACCGUCACCAUUAGCGAAAUCAAAACGACCCGGUUACCCUCAGUUGACCAUACGUAUUACAUCAGUGGCGCGUCCACUGGAGGAGGGCACAGGGACACGCGUCACCCUCCCCACUCUGAAAAAUGGAUUACGCUACCGCAGAUUUCGCGUCAAUUUACCAUACAAUUCAUUGUCAAUAUACUGAAAAUGUAAAUAACGUGUCCCCACCCCCUCUGCCCCUUGAAAAAAUGUCCGGGUCUGCCGCUGUAUCGUACAGUCGACUAUUGAGUUGACUUUUCGAAACGCGCGAAUGGCGAAUCGGUUCCCUACAAAGGCCGGUUUAGAACUGAUGAGUUCGCUUUGACAUAACUGCCGAAUAUUAUAGAAUUUUAAACGUUUAAUUUAUUCGCGCGCGUACAUGCGUAUUGUUGGUACUGCUGUAGUUUCGGCGUAAUUCCGGGGCGACCGUGCGGCCCGAGGCGUUUUCUUUAAUUACAAAUAUUUUUUUCGCGGAAUGGGGCGGAAGCCGGUACCUUAGUUUGUAUAAUAUAGAAAAGAAAAAAAAAAGAGCUAAUCGAAAAACUUAUAAUAACAAGUCGCUGGUAAAAAAAAAAAAAAAAAGCGCGUAACCGCGUUGAUCGACUUAAAAGUAUAUUCGUAUAGUUUCAGUCGAGUGAUUUGACGUUGAACGACGUUUUGAAAAUUGGCAUUUUUCAUCCCGCGGGGGUCGGGUAAAAAUGAUUUGAAAAUCUCAUAAAAAAAACCGCGUGAAAAAAACUAUAUUGAUUUCUAUCGACGGAGACGACGUGAAAUCGAUUUAUUUAAAAUGUCUGUGUCCGCGUUAGCUCUGAAAUACCAAAUACCGAAAACAGCGAUAAAAAAAAAAAAAACUCGAAAAAUCUUCAAGCCUCCGGUGGCUCGGUCGAGGGCGGAGGGACUGAGGAGACAAACGCUCUCCUUUAUGGCCACACGGACCGCGGUCCUGUAGCGUUUUACGAUUUCAGUGAUGUUAACUGCAUAAUAUGUUUCCAGUUCUUUCUUCCGUUCCUGAAAUUCCAUUUCCACCCUGAAAAAAAAGCGAAACGCCGGACAGGACGGCCAUAAAAAGCGCGUUAUGCUCACAAGACAUAACGCCAGCGUUUCGAUGUUAUUGUUUCACGAUUGAGGUUUUUUUUUUUUUUAUGGAUUUUUAUUUUCGGGAGGAUGAUGGGGGGGGGGAGGGUCGGUGAACGCCACCAACUGUCCGAGUCCGUUAAGUCUUUGAUCGGCGGUGUUCCCGAAAAGUCGCCGGUAGACAGACGAAAACAAAAUUACACUGGCCGCCGCCGCCGCCGCCGGCGGCGAAAUCGCAGUCGCGGCCGGGGUCGGUGUAACGGCGCGGAAACCCGCGCCCGUCGCGUCGCACGACGCGCGGAUACGCGGCCAAUAUUUACGGGCGAAUUGAGAAGCACGCGACGAUACGCGACGACGGCCGGCGUACGCGUUCGGCAUAUAUCCGAUGGCGGGCCGGCGAUCGGCCGCGACGUUCUUGUACGCGCGGCGCAGUGAACAACACGGGAGUGAUGUCGGUCCGGCGCGGGAUUUUCGGCCGUCCGAAACCCCCCUCCGUACGCCGCCCGUUCCCCCGGCCCCACUCCCCCCCCCGGGCGUCCGGCCGACCGCGUCGCGUCGUCGCGCGCCGGCGUUUCCGAAUUCCUCGGCGACCGCGGCGUGUACGAAUACCGCGUGUUGCGCGCGCACAGGGCGAUUGUUCUCGUUUGACGCGGUAGCCGGCCGAACGUUUUCGGCGCGCCGUUGACGGGCGCGUACGCGGUUCGAAGGUCGGACCGUUCGAUUCGGUAAACCGUCGGCUUUUUGCUCUCGCUACGGAAAACCGCUGUCCGCCAAACGGUCUUUUUCGAAAACAUAUUCGACACUUUCAGACUCCAGACGCCGGUCGCGGCUGUCGAUUCGGUUGACAAGGCGACGACGAAUUACCGAUCGCGUUCUUCUUCUCGUCGUCAAUAUCAUUCUCGGUUCAAAUACGAUAUCGUCAACAUAAUUUCACGCGCUAGCCAACGGCGUUAAAAACAGGCGCCGGGACAUCAAUUACUCCGAGAACUCCAAAGGUGCCCAUCUCCCCCCCGUCAGCUAUUUACAAAUGAAAAUCGUUUAUUUUAUUAUUGGGGUUUUUUUUACACACGUAAUCGCAGUGCAUUAUAAUACUGUACGUUGUCAAAUCGUCACGGCUAAACCAUUACAACGUCAUCCUAACUGCGCUCAGAAUCUAAAACGUCCGCACGGUGUAAACGCACGUAUCGCGCUGUAAUACAGUCUACCGCGUGUUUAUCGUGUACCCAUUUGCUAGUUACGACAAACGUAAACGUACGCGAACAGUUAUUGCAUUAGUAUUUGCAUCGCGUAAUUCAGAGAAGUGCCGACAGCCGAGCUAUUUUUACGACUGUCGUGGUUGUCGGUGGAUAUUCUCCGAAUGACCGUUUCGUAUCGACGUGCCGAUGAAUUUUCAACUAAAAACAAAUUGUACGCGAUACGCGCGCUUCUGUAUUGUUUUUGUUAUUAUUAUUAUUAUUAUUAUUAUUGAUUUGUAUGGUUUUUUUUUUCAUUCCGUUUUCGAUUCUGAGCGGACCGAGGAAUGUAUUGGUUGGUUUUACAAUGAUGUUUAUCGUUAUUAUUAUUAUUAUUUUAUGCGAACUCUUUUUCCACCAGAAAGCAUACUCCGGUUAUCAAGUAUCUGAAAGGAAAUUUUCUCCGGACGGUACUUUAGACAGGUCGUUUUUUUUUUUUUGAUAUUCUGAUUAAUAUUCGAUAUAACGAGGGAAACUUCGAUCUUUAGAUUAAAAAAGAAAGAUUAAAAAUAAGGUUGUCAUUGGCAACCGUUUCUAUUUAUUUUUCGUUAUUAUUACAUUUUUAUCAUUUUAAUUUUUUUUUAAACAAUCAUUGUUGUCGUAGAAACGCACAUUAUAUUAAUCAUUUUACCAUAAUAUGACAUUAUACCAUGUACUGUAUUGUUGACAAAGCAACAUUAUCAACUGAAUUCGGCUCAGAAUCGUUUUCUCGUUGCUUACAGAUAUACAUUAAAUUCCCGUCCGUAGCCCACCUUUCCAACUUGCUACCUACAACGGUGGCUGCACCCACGCGCGAAGUAUGUCCGUCCUUUUUGUUUUAUUAUUAUCGUUGUUGUUGCCAAAAAAACUGUACGUGACUCCGCCUAUCAUCGGGUGUGCGGGGCUCGGGGAUAUGCGAAGCUGAGAACAUUAUAUAUCUGAACAAAAAAAAUCCGGUUUCGAUUAGAUAAUGACGAUUUUUUUUUUUUUUUUUGUAUCAUAAUGUGACGUCGUCGUCGCUUCACGCCAAAUCCGUGUGCGAUUUCGAGCUCAUAAUAUUAUUAUAUAAACUACAUCAAAUUACGAUUUGAGCGAAGAGAGUAAUGUAUUGGUUUUUGUAUAAUGUUUUUUAUUUGUUCAAAAACCUUAAAUGCCUCUUUCGCUUCAGUUUUUUUUUAAGCGAAACAUGCCUAACGCCCUGACAAAAUUUUACAAAAAAAGCCCUUGUCUUUUUAAUGAUUCCAGAAAAACGUCUAGUAGAAAAGUCGGUUUACAUAUCAAAGAAAAAUAAAUAAAUAAAUUCCCAUGGUACUCAAAAUUAAAAAAAAGAAAAUGUAUUUUAAAAUGGCUAAUAUAGGUAAGAUAAUGCUUGAGCUAUACGCUUUUAGAUUUUUAAAAUAAAAAAAGGCGAUACUGAUAAAAUUAAAACUAUUUAUAGCAAACUUUUUAAUUCAAUAUACAGGAUGUUUCACAAAGAUUAGAUAUUAUAUUUUCUGCGUAUUGAAUUUGUUUUACAGUGAAAACCGCCAAUCAACAUUAAAAUAAUAAUUAUUACAAUGAUGAUUUUUUUUUUUUUUUGAAUCCAUUUUGCUGUACAAGUAACUGUCAUUAUUUUACAUUACAAAAAAAAAAAGGUGAAGUUAAAAAAAAAAAAAAAAAAAAAAAAUCGUUUGAAACAAUUUCAUUGUUAUCAUCGUGCAUGAUGCACCGUAUGCAUGAUAUUGAUUAUAAACGAUAAUUUGGAAUCUCUUUGACAAUAAAUACGGUUAACCGGUCGGUUAAUGGAACCUAAAAAGUACGGUGCACGGGGGGGGGGGAGAAAGCACUUACAAAUAAUAAUAAUAAUAAACAGGUCCGGGGGCAUCGAUGAUUUUCCGGUCGGUUAGACGACUCGAAAAGGACGCGCAACUUUGUGACGCCGCAUUUCCCUUGUACGUGGGCAUUAUAUUUUUUUGGUCGUCAUCGGCCAUCAUCAGUCCGCUGUUUGUUCCGGUUCGACGAGAAACCAAAAACAUAUAUAUAUAUAUAUAAUAUCAUUAUACUGGCAGCGGCUAUAGUACAAAAAGCUCAUACGCUUUCCAAUUGCACGUGUUGCGGAAAAUCCUUUACCCGUGUGAAAUUAUUCGACAGUCUCCGCUAUCUCACAAUCAAGCUGUCCGUAAACUCCGAAAAACGAAAUAUUUUAAAAAAAUAAAUUUCGUUUUUCAAAAAAAAAACAUACGUUGUUGUACGGCAAUUUUAAAAGCAACGUAACACAUUGUACCGCGGAGGGGCGUUUUACGGAGAUUUAAUAUUUUUAAGUGGUCGUGCACGUUUGGGAGGGUGGGUGAGUAACUGCCGCGGCAGGGUAAUAGCGUAUACAUUAUUUAGUCUUAUACCACUUAAAAAUAAUAAAUUGUCGCGCGGCACUGUAUAGACAAAAUCCGAAAUUACCGUGAUUUUUCAUUCUCGCGUACCAUACCCAACAACAACAAUUCGAUAUUAUUGUUUUGCUUUUUUUUUUCCACUCGAGAGUUUUUUUGAAAUUUAAUCUCCUUCAUAAUAGUAUUGACAGAUUGAAAGUUUUCUAAAAAUCAAUGAUCGUACACGGAUUUUAAACAUAGUUUAUUUAUUUUUUUUUUUUUCAACGGUCAACGUAAUAUAAACAAAACGUAAAACGAUAUGUACGUUAUAAACAAAUACAGCGUACACAAAACGCACGUAGGGUUCUAGAUUCCGAGCAUAUAGGUUAUUGCGUUUAACGUUUUGUUUGAUUUUCUCGGAAUGCGAUAUUAUACUUUUUGCAGAACAAUAAAAAUAUAGGUAUACUAGAAAAAGUUUAUCGAUAUAUUAUACGAAACCGCUGGGGGCAUAACGGAUUCGCGUUCAGGGGAACCUGCGAUUUUGCUUUAUUAGUUUUAGUAUUGAAGCGAAAUGCGAAUUGGCCUGUUAUCAACUAAACUUCAAGGGGAAGAACGUUGUCUGUAUUUGUACGGUGGUUUCGUUGUUUUGUUUUUCAAACGAGAUACGAGCGUGUGAGAAUCGCGAUUUAAAAACGGUUAUAUCAACGUACACAACAGAUACUUCCCUUGGGAGUUUAAUAAAUACGGGCAAUUCAAUCUAACAACAUAGUGAAACUAACGUUAUACAAUUGUCGGUAUUGAUAAACGCGAAUUCGAUACGUUCGUCAAGACGAAAUGCAUUCGCAGUGUCCCUAAUAGUUUUUACCGGGGGGGAGGGGGUAAGGGGGUGGUGGUGGGGUUGUACGAUAUGAAGAUUACGAAUUUCUGGUUGUAACGCGAGCGGAGUCGGUAAAUUGCGUCCCCAAAAAAAGGUCAUAGUCAUAUACUGUGUAAAUUGCGGCCCGUGUACUUUUAAAACGUACGUAAAUUGCGUCCCGGGUAUAUUUGAAAUGUACGUAAACUCCGAUUUAAAAUAAAUUAAAUUCCGAUUUCCGUUCGGUUGCACAAUUUGGAGAUAAGUAUUAAUCUCUGAUUGAUAAUAAUAUGUUCACUAAUAUAAUAUUACUAGCAGAUAGUAGAUCGCGAGCACACUUAUCGUUCGAUAGGUAACGGUUUUUCGAAAAACCGACGGUCGAAAAUACGCAGUACACAGCUCUCGUAAUGUACGGAUCUGUUUGACGCGCGCGGGUUCGGAACCGGGAACGAUGUCGUUGAACGCGACAAACGGAACGGUUUUUUUUUUUUUUUGGGGGGGUGUUGAUGCUUCGGCGCGCGCGUGUAUACCUGUGCAUAAAUGUAUACAUAUUGUGUACGGAUAGAACCGUAAGGACGACGACGGUAAUAAUAAUAACGGCUUACGAUAUUAUAACGCGUUACAACGAUGUUCAAUAAUAAUAAUAAUGAUAAUGAUAAUAACGAUAACGAUAAUGUCGUUAUUACUGUACAAAUUAAUAAUCGUUAAAUCCUCUGCCGCUUCCCGACCGAAUGCCCUACGCUAUCGCGUCGUUCCGCGUCACGGAUUUCAAUCGUAGUUUAUCGGCUAUAUAUAAUAAUAAUAAUAACAAAUAACGCGUAAAACUGCGGUAUAAAAUGUUUACCGGUCAAUGAGUACAAUUUUUUUUUUAAUUUUUUUUUUAUUGUUGUAAUAUCGCGACGGGGACAAAAAAAAAUAAAUAAAUAAAAACCGAUUCUUUUAUUUAAUAUACGGCGUACGUAUUGUGUACGAUUCGACGAUUCCCUCGCGCGUAAUUGCGUAUAGGGAAUCGUAAAAACCCGCCGACACGCAGAACGCGUUUUUUUUAUCAUUAUUAUUAUUAUUAUUAUUUAAACGCGGACCGUCGGUUUUCCCGGGGGGNGGGGGGGGGGGGGGGGGGCUUUGAACGAAAGCACCGAAAAACGUUCGUUUCUGACGAUUAUCCGCGGUCCGACGGCAAGUUGUACGCCUCCGACGAUCUCCAGCCCGCCAUCGAGCCUUCGCCCUCCGGUGCGACGUUUGACGUAUUUACCGAACCGUCUGUGCGGAAUUCAGAUUCAACGCCCGGUUUACAUUCGGCCGCCGCCGUAUCCACUCCUCGAAAUACUCCCGUGACGGCGGCGAGGCGUUUACAUUGCCGUGCCAAUUAGAGCGGCUGACCGGAUCGAUCGCGAUCGCCGGUUAUGUCGCUGCUCGCGGUGCUCAGUUUACCGCUCUUGACGAUCGGCGCGAUCGGCGCGAGCGACGCGUUUCCGCAUUACUCGCGCCGCCCGUUUUUACGCUCACCGCGACGCGCUGCUGCCGCUGCCGCGGUAGCGGGCCGAAUGCAAACCAGGGGCGUGAAAUACGGCGCGCGGCCGUCGACGGCCCCGGCGCCCCGCCGAACGCACACUCGGAUCGGCCAAGUAUCAACCGCCCGUUAACGAUACGCAAUAAAUAACGAACGGAGUCUGCGUGGCGAAUAUAUCCCGGGAGUCGGUUCGCGAACACUGUCGCCGCGGCUCUGCGAGAUCCGCGUCGUACGGAUACGACAGAGCGGCGAAAACCGCAGCGUUUACUCCGUGCACACGCGCGCGCACGCGCGGAUCGUUAUUAUCUUUUCCGAGUCGUAAAAUCCGACAAUGGAAAAUCGUAAAUCCGCCGAGACGCUUGCGGGCCGCCUAACGGAAAUGUUAUUGUGACCGCGUAUUACCACAUCUCGGCCCCGGUAACCGCGCGCCGGCGGCGCUCCUCCGUUGUCGAUAGUCAUUAAAAUAAGAUCCGCCGCGGAUUUCGAGGCGGACGGUGCCGGCCGUGUACGGUUUUUAUAAAAUAAUGCGUUUGGAGAGGAAAACAAUCAGAAAAACCAAAAAAAAAAAAAAAAAANNNNNNNNNNNNNNNNNNNNNNNNNNNNNNNNNNNNNNNNNNNNNNNNNNNNNNNNNNNNNNNNNNNNNNNNNNNNNNNNNNNNNNNNNNNNNNNNNNNNUUUUUUUUUUUUUUUUUUUUUUUAUAUAUCCAGUCAGUACACGGUGUUCGUGAUGAAUUUCGGAUUCGGCUCGCGUUUUGUGAUUUAAUUUUUUUACAUUAGGCUAGGUCGAACGUACGUUUUUUGUUCUUACAGUUUUUAGUUUUCUUACCAUUGUGCGCGAGAAAUAUUUUUAAUUAUUAAAUUACGCGACUCGGUGCAAAAGAGUACCACUCUGUAGUAUACUUACGUUUUAAGCAAUAAUUAAUUAUAAAAGUUAAUGUCGGUAGAGAAAUUAUUAUUAUUAUUAUUUUUUUUUUUUUAAAUUGACUGCGCAGUUUUUAAUACUGUCGUCCUACCACAAAAUAUUAUAAUUACGACGCGAUAAACUCAUAAAAUAAAUUUACAUUAUAUUAAACUUUAAUUAUUAUUUCGGGUAUUUUAUUGUUAUUACUUUUUUUUUUUUUACGAAUAUAAUUUUUUUUUUGUCAAUUUCGCCGUUUUGUUGUGAAUUGACGCGCUCGCCUAUAAACAGUCUUUCGUAGAGCGGUCACCGUGGUAUGUGCGCGUAAAAAACACACACAAAAAAAAAAAAAAAAAAAAACAUUAAAUGAACACAGAACGAGAAAGCCCCCCAAUUAUACCUGUAUCGUCACGACUGCAGAAUUUAAUACUUAUAAUAUUAUUAUUACAGAAGGUCACCGGUUAUUCGACCGGUUUGCACGAUGCAUUUAAUCUAUGGGAACGGGACGGACACGGAAAAAUAGCGAAUAACUAUAGCAGACUCAGUAAUAUUAUAAAAUACAGUGUCGAAACCCUCGGCGUCGACUCUCGGCACACAAUAAUAAUACACCACGCAACUCGCACGAUAAUAUUUUUAUAGUACGAUUUGCAUGAAUGGAGUCGGGGAGCUAUAUACGUGUUAUCUUUACAAUAACGAAUUCUGCGCUGUGAAUUUAAUUGACAAAAGCGUUUAAAAUCCCCUCUCCUCCCCCCCCCCUAAAAAAAAAACCGGGGCUCGAAAUGCGAUUUGAACGAUAAUAAAAAUUGUCCUGAAAAUCGUAAAAUCCAAAAAGAGUAGUGUAAAAUAGACAGUUUCAAAACUGAAAUUUUCGUUGUCUCGUAAUAAUUCGAGCUCGGUGUACGUCUUAUUGUCGACAACAAAUAUUAGGUUGACGCCUUAAUUAAAAAAAAAAAACAACCGCAUUAAAGAUAUAUUAUCAGCUGGCAUAUAACCUUUAAAACUUAACCAAUUGAAUUUAAAUUUUUUCCGAGGCUCUUAAACGUCACGUAGACCAAAGCCGUCCUGACAAUAUUUUUUCAAGUAUAAUUUUAAUCAUUACCCGUAUGCGUUUAAAAUGCCGACAAAAAAUUGAAUUUUAAUCAUUACUUAAAUUAUAUUAUUGUAUUGUUAUUAUUAUUAUAAUCGUCGCUAACUGAGUUGAUCGUAUUGAAGUGUUUUUUUCAUUAUUAUAUUAAAAAGUAAACCCUAACGAUAUAACUCCAUUGUUUUUCUUUCCGUGCGUAAUAUUUAUUUUAUUUUUUUUUUAUUUUUUACUUAUUGUUACCUAUUAUGACGGAUACGGUCGGGUAAUUAUUGCCGUCGUCUCGUUGCUAACCUAUUAUACAGCGUGCGUACCGCGCAUAACAGGUGUCCGUUUUUAUCGGGAGACGGACGCGGCCAUCACCUGCACAGCUGUCUAUCAGCUAAUGGCACACGCGCUACAAGACCAGACUCAUCUCUCCGCGUCUGUACGUAUAUAGAGGUACACGACGUGACAAUUAUUAUUACCGACACCGGAAUAGGAUAAUAGUAAACCCGUCUUAAACGUUUUAUUUCCAUACUCGGUACCUACGUAUACCUGCACCUGUACCCACCCGCGUAUAGCUCAUGAUUUCUGUAUUUCUCACACGCCUAAUAGCCGUGCGUUAACUAUUGAUAAUUUCCGUACCGUUAAGUCGAUUCCGGUGUUAUGCUCAUUAGAGGCAGGUCCAAUUGCAGUAAAUCGUCAUCGUCGUAAACCCAUAUUUCAAUAAUUAUAUUGUACCCGGGUGUCCGUGGAUUUCAACGCAAAGUGCAUUUUUACGUUGCGUUACAAUUUAUAGGUAUGGACAUUUUUAAUGCGUCUAUACGAUUAGAGAUAUAUUUAUGCGUGCACGCCUAUUUGAAAGUAACGAUAUUGUCUCGAAAACUUCGGUUUUCAUACAGGAGUUUAACAGGUUUUAGCUCGUAUAUUUAUAAUGUAGGUAUUUUCCGUCCGUUUGUAAUUUACAUUUUUUUUUUUUUUUUUUUUGUACGCUCUAGAAAAAUUUAUUCCGAGUGUAUGGAUUAUGGGUGCGUAAUAUAAUUCGAAUCGCGUAACAUAUGAUGUCACUUCCAGCGCCCCGCUCAGGAAUUUACAACGGGAGGGGAUUCGGUGAAUAAUACCGCCCGAGACGAUUCGUUUAAUUCAUUUUUUUCGUAUCCGACUCGAAUGAGAAUGAGAAUUCAAAAGCCGAAAGAGACAAUUUUUAUUCGAUAAAUCGUGCUUUUUCCAUUCCUAUCGACAUGGCCGUAGGCAUAAUUUCGACGGUGACGCACGGCAAAAGGGUUUUUAGCGACACGAUUCAUAGUUUUCAAGAGAGUCGAAAAACAAUUAUUUGUGAUUUUAACAUUUUUUUUUUUUUUUUUUUUCUAAAUCGGCAAUAUCUUUUUUCCGGUCGGAAUAGGGAAUUUUUUCAUUGAAUACUUGUUGUUCUUGGUUGUACGUCUCUUUAAUACGGAUACGUAUUGUUGAUUAGCUUUUCUCGUUGUUUAGACCCGAUAACCGAGAAGACGAAAAUAAAAAGUUUUUAUUGUGCCCGAUUUGAAAUUCAAAAUGUUUUUUUUUUUUUUUUUUUUAUCAAAUAACGGCCAGCGGCCACAGUUGUUUGUGCGCACGCGUAUUUCUCCACCCGACAGUGAGGCCGUGCCGCUUGGACCCUUUCGCCGUGUCACCGUCGAUACGAUUUCGAGAUGAAACCGCCGGAUCGGGGAACGCAGGGAACGUUUCUUAUCUCGACAUCCCCCCCUCCCCGGCCCACUUCUCUCGCGCACGCGCGCUUCAAACGGAUUGUUUUCGGCAGUCAAUCCCCGACGUUUUCAAACGGAGAGAGCGCGUUUUCGGGACGGUUUUCGCGGCGUUCGCGUCAUCGUAAAUUAAAUCGUUGUGGAAGAAAAAAAAAAAUUAAAUAAUAAUAAUAAUAAAUACACACGUUCAAUGUUAUUACACGUAUCCGACGGUCCGAGGGGAGGGGGAGGGGGGUACCGACGGUGCGUCGGUCCGGCGUUUAUAAACGCGCGGAACAAUGGGCGCGUAAUGUACGGUUGGAGGUCAAGAGCUCCGGCUAGCGAGCGGGCGGCGGCGCGCGCGUGAUACGACGACGACGGUUAUUGUGAAUCGUGACGUUUCCGAAAUACGUGACCGGGCCCGCAACGCAAACACGCCGGCCGCGGUCGGGCGGGCAACGUGACGACAUCAAUCCCGGACACUGUCGCCGAUCGCGCGGCAAUGCAAUCGCAUGCAAUUUAAUCGCCAACGAACCGGGCGUUUCGGUCGCGUUUGGUUGUAUUUAUUUAUUUGUUUAUUUGUUUUUUUUUUUCUUAUCCACGACAACACAGCCCAACAAUCAAAGUCGGAUUCCGCACGCCAUUGCGGUGUACCGUCCGCGCGCGCUGCGUACGUAUUCGAUAUGAUCGGGUGCACUGCAGUAGGCGCGGGCUCGUAUUUAGCGGGGGGAGUCCAGACUCCACGCGUCCCCGACCCCUCCCUCGCCGGAAUCCGACGUUUGUGUGGACACCCGAGAAAUCGGCACUUUCACUGUUUCCGCACAGUAAGGUUCCUUGCGGUUUUCAAUAAUUUUUUUUUUUUUGUUUUUCGAAUUUUAACUCGCCUCUAUUUACCCCGGCCGCCUCUGUCUGAGAUUGUUCCCGGAACAAUCCUAAAUCUUGUCCCGACUGUUCGUAUCCGUACCGAGGAAUACGAACAAUCGCGCGGUGCCACGCGUUCGCCAAUUGCAGUUUAACAGUUUUAGGCCGAUUCACGGGCCGGCGAUACGAUAUUCGGAUGAAUUUAUUUUGUAGAAGGAUCCAAUAGGCCACACGGGGCCAACCAUAAAAACGAACUCACUUCCAUAUACGUUUUUUGUGCGUUUUUUUUUUUUUUUGUUCUACAAAUAUUAUUGACGUAAAUUGUAUGUACGGAUACACUGCAGUGCCCUUUACGAGGCCCCUCCCUGGCCACUCUUUAAUCCUGGUUCGAUUCCGCGGGGUGUAUUCAUGUGGUCAUAUUGUAGACGACGGACAAUAUCGAAAUAUAUCUAAUAACAACGUGGAAGUAUAAUACGUGCAGUAAUAUAAUGUCAAAAACCAAAUAUUAAUCGGAAGUCAAAAAAAAAAAUGCGGGUCGGGCGGAUCGUAGUUCAGCUACACCAAAGUUAGUUUAGUCGGUAAAAUUAAUUUAACGUCGCCCGGGGUACACAACGAGAAAGCGAUCUAAUUAUACAAGUUCCAGAAGUAGAAUAAGGAGAAGAAAAGUUGCGUUAAAAGUUAGCUUUUCGUUUUUUUUUUUUUUUUAUAUAGUUUAUUAUUUUAGGAUCCUUCACUGAAAUCAACUUGACCUUUAACUUUUAUUUUCGUUAUAAUGCUCACACUCGGUUUGAUUUUUUUUUUAGAAUAUUUUUAGCGUUUCAAACAUAUCGUUUUUCACGCCACCACUGUUCUUGAAUACACAAUCAUUUAUAUUUACUCGUUAUAGUCGGAGAUUUGAUACCUUUCUGAGGAGCUAUAGAAUAAUUCUAAUACCCAUACACAUACAUAUAUUGAUAUUAGAUUAUUUUGUAAUAAUAAAACACUUUUAGAUAGGUAUUUAUAGGAAAAUAUUAAAAAAUUAGUUUGUUUUUUUUUUUGGGGGGGGAAUUUGGAAGAUUUUGAGUGGCUUAUCUAGCCUUAGUUCUCCGAUCUCUGGCCAUGCUAUGUUUUUUUUUUUGCUAAUAAAAACAUUUAGCGUUUAAUCCUGCACCAGAAGUAUAGUAUAGCUACGUUGAAGCGAUGGUGAUUCUCGGCAUGUGUUAUAAUAAUAAUAUUUACUAUAAGUACCUACUCAUUAUAAUAUUCAUGUAGGAAAGUUUUUUUUUGUUCAUUAAUCAUUAAAAUUUAUUUACGUUUAGUCGAAUUUCAAACGUGUUUAAUUUUAGUAGGUACUUAGUGUAUAGGUAAUUAUUUUAUUGUGAUAAAACACGAAUACAAUAUGUAAUGACGAAGCGGAGAAUACAGCUUAAUUGAAAUAUUUAAAAAAAAAAAAAAAAAUACAUUGUAAUACCAGAGAGUACUUACUGCCUAAUAUAUAUUUUUAUAAUUAAACGACGUCCGGUCAAAGUCGAACAACGUAUUGUAGAUGUACAUAUAGGUAUAUAUAGGCGCGUGUAUAGAAGCGUAGAUCUGCAUUUAAUCUCGUUUGAAUUUUAAACAUUUUCUCACAAUUGUGUUUUGGUAUUUUUAAUACAUAUUCUAUAAAAAGCGAAGAAGACCGGGGAAAACCCCCCCCCCGUGUCGGAAAAUAACAAUAUUAAAAAAAAAAAAAAAAACGUAUAAAAGUAUAAAACAAUACGAAACGGACGAAAAAAACCGCCAUCAGGUCAUUUGCUUUUAUAAUAAAAACUAAUGCGCGCAAUACUAUACAUAACCGAACCCGUAAAAUUGCACUACAUCAUACUUGUGUAUACACGGUGUUACAUAAUUAUAGAAUUUCGUUAGCUCUCGCAAAAACGUCGACUUUUAUAAUGACAUACGAAAGUCUGCGCAAUACGUGUACGGAAAUUGUGAUUACUCGGAAAAUAAACUUUUUUUUCGUAUUAAAUUUUGUUUUCAAAGAAAUUUUUUCGAAUGUUCUUUGAAAAUCGAAACGAAAAAAGAAAAACAAGUUUUUCUUAUUAUUUAUCGUUAGUGUAUAAUACAUUGUAAAAUCGAUAAGGGCGCACUUACCAAAUAAAUGAAAAUGUUUGCUGCGGUUUUUAUUGGUAACCUAUAGGCAGGCAGUAUUUCAAACAAGCCACUGUACACUGUAUACAAUUAUAGAAUAAUCACGAUAAUUUUGAACAGUAAAUAAUACAGGUUGAACAAUUUAUCAACGAUUUUCUCGGAGGAUUCCACGUGAAUUUGAUUUCUAUUCUUUCAUUUCAUCUGUUAUGGAACCGUUUAAGCUUUAUUUCAAGUUUAACGCUAUUUUCAAUUAUUUAUCCCGAAUGACCGGCACCUUAAAUUAGUAUACACUUUCGAUUUUCAAAUUUGAGAUUUCCCCUACCGUUUUUGAACACGUAUUCGAAUAGAGACCGUUUUUUCUAUACUAUUUGAUAUGCAUAACAUUAAUAUCUGUAUGAGUUUUAACAGUUUAAAGUUCAGACCGGAGGAUGAAGUGUAUGGGUUGUAGAUUUGUCAUCUAAAAAUGAAAACGGAGUAUCGAUUAUUGGAUUAUCGAUACGAAGUCAAUGUCAUCACGACGAUUGCUUUCAGAGGUUUUGUUAACUGUAAUUUUAUAUUCCUAAUUGUUUGUUUUCGAACAAGUUUUCAACUGAAUAGACUUGCUCCAAUCGUUUACAUCAAGGGUGGUUUUUGGUAGCGAAUUAGGAAAAACAGCAGUAAUAUUUACGCAAUGUCGGUUUUAGUUAAUUUUUUUUUUGAAAUUUAGUUAAAAAAUGAUCGUAGAGACUAGUCGAUUUUACUGAACACUUAUAUUGUCAUUAAGCAGUGCAAUUUACCGGGUCGUUAAAAAUAAUUUAUCGCUUUUUGAAACGUUCGUAUGUAUUCGGUUUCACGUGAACAACACGUUUUUGGCUAUACAAAUACGUUUGGAAAUUCGAUACUACUCUUAGAUAGCCGUUUGCCGACAGGUGCGUAGGAGGUACACGGACCCGGAAAACGAACAAUUAACGUUUUUUUGUUUUCACAAAGCUCCCGCGACGCUGUUCCAAAUAAUUUCUCCGCAAAGGCGCGUGUAGUUGGACAAAAAAAAGCAAAAAAAACAAAAAAAAAAAAAAACGGGCGUUUGUAGAUAUUAACGCGUAGUCGCCGCCGCCCGGAGGUCGACCAAUUAUCGUUAUUGAAACACGGCCGUGCGCCCGUCGCCGCCCGUUUACCGGAUUCGCAUUAUCGUUUAUUUGUCGCGGUGUCGUAACGCGGAACACGCGGGACGCGAGGGAAUUCACCGUGCGCGUACGGGUCCGCAUUUCUCCGCCGGUCCCGUCCGCGGCGCUCGUUGUCGGUUCGCAUUGUACAGAUUAUUACAACGGUCGGCCGGUGACCGCGGCUAUCCCCUCGUUCGCGUCGCGCGACGGUGCCCUUCGCCCCGUGGAAAAAUCGAAAAAAAAAUCGCCCAAACGUCAUUUUUAUCGCCGCCAUUGUCCGUCCACGCGCGUACGCUUCGCGCCGAUAUCGAAUCAAGCCCGUUUACAAAUAAUCCCGACAAUCAUACACCGCGCGCGCGUAUACACGUCACAAUGAUAUUAUUGAUGCGCACAGCGCACACGCUGUAUGCGACGCUGACGUCCGUUGUGCUCGCGUCCGUCGCUGUACAACACCGCCGACGUGUUACUGUCGUCGGGGGGUUCGGAUUCUCCAACACGCCGUGAUAACAAAAUUCGAUUGGGGUUUUCUUUUAUAGAAGUGGGUGGCGGUCGGGGGACUAUGUCGUCCGUGUCUUCGGUCCCGGGGAGCAAGGGCUUCCGACCGGCCGCGCACGCGGUUCGGGCAUAACGAGAGCGGAUUGGAUGUCGAAAACCGCCAAGCGAAACAACAGCGCGAUAAUUGCAAAACGUUUAAAGUGUUAAUUGUACGGCCGUUAUGAUAAUGGCUCAAGUCGUGUACAAUUACGUUGUUUACGUCUUUUUCGCCAAACAAAAAGUGCACCUCACUACAAACGAAAUGCCAAAAAGGUUCUUCUUCUCCGUGUCUGAAGACACGCUGAUGCGCUUUCCGAGCUACGAAUUCGUGUAAUACGCAUACAAGUGGAAUACGCUAUAUAAUACACUCGAAGGGCGUACAUUUUUUCUUUUCGAUGAAAAUCCCGUGUUUAUGAGGUUAAUGAGGUAAUUUUUUUCCAUUUCCUCGGUUAGGUCAGGUCGGGUUAGUUUGGGUUAGGUAAGGUCAUUUUUAGUUUGUUUUUUUUGUUUUGUAUUUUAAACAUUAAAAUCCGUACUCUGAUUACCAUUGUUGUAUACUGUCACGAGGAUCGGGGGAUUAUAUUAAUGUAAACGAUAUUGAAUGCAUCAUUUUUUUUUUUUUUUUUUUUUGUUGGAUUAUUCGAAACACCGCAACGACGGUAAUACUAAUGUAUCGAUAAAAAGUACAUAGGAAUUAACGGAGCCGCCGAAGUCUUGACCUCUCCCGCGGUCGAUAUAAAAAUAAUGUGUAUAACUAUAAUACACACACACACACACACACACACACACACACACACACACACACACACACACACAUAUAUAUAAUGAUAAUAAUAAUAAUAAAAUAUUACGUAUAUUAAAAAAAUAAAAACGGGUUGUCGACCUCUCUUGUGUUUGCGUUUGCGUUUGCGCGCGCGCGCGUGUUUGUUGUCCGUAUCUGUAGCGGCGGCGGCGGCGGGCAGUGAGCAAGUUUAGUAUAAUAAUAUUGUUGAGAAGACCGAGACACUGCUACAAUUGCUGCUACUCAACUGCGACACAGAUAGUCGGAAUGAGAAAAAAAAAAAAAAAAUUCACGCUUUAUAUAAAUACCCCGUGCAGCAGUAGCACCAGCUAUACAUUUAUAAUAGCGUUUGCCAUAGUAUGUAAUAUAAUAUAUCAGACCGCCUAGUUUAUACAAUUAUCAUUUACGCCCGCGAAGGGCAGUGUUUUGAUUAUCCAAUUAGUUUUUAUAAUAAUCUCCGGUGAACAACGGGAAAUAAUUUUAGUCUUAGGCGGGUAUUUAUGUAUAUAAAACCAUGCAAUUUGAGCAUACGAACGGUUGGGGUGGGGGUUUGAUGUUUAAACCUACCAAAAGACACGUCCUGGAUAUUUACACGGUGCAAACGCGAAAUGUUUUCCCCCGAAUCCAUUCUCGGGGGUCUGUAUAGGGAUGCGAAACGUUAAAAAACACCAUUUUCCCGCGAAAACACGCGGUAAAAUUCAACCGUUCAACCGAAACGUUAUCACUACAAUCCGUUUAUAAAACAACUCUGUAUAUCGAGUUUGAGUUAGUUUGGCUCCAGAGGGAACCGCUAAACGUAUCUAAAAGUAACGAUAGAAUGAUUGAUAUAAACGAGGAUAUAAAAGGAUUGGUAACCCUGGCUUCUAUAAUUUCUUUCGAGUACAUCUAUUCUAGUAAAAAGUUUAUUUUUCUAAAUUAUGUUUUUCGUGUUGGGCGAAUUUGUAAUGAACCCGAAAGAAGAGAAACUUGUUGCCACCCGGCGGCGCAUCUGCAGUUUUUCAACUAAAACAUUUUUCCGGCAUACACCAUUAAAUUUUGUAUCUCUCUGAAACUAAAAAAAAAAAAAAUCAAACCGAAGAAGUUUAUUGAGAACCUAUACAAAUAUAAUAUGUGCCAAGAAGAAGUCAUAGCGGUUGCACGUGAUACCAAUCCUACUGAUUAUCAACGCUCGGUAUCCGAGUUGUAUUAUCAGCAUCGAUACUUUUUGAUUAGCCCUCGUACGUAUUGUACAGUAUUGUUUGUAAGUAACAAAGAUAUAAUACAGUGCAGUUAUCACUAUGUCCAAGACGAAAAAAGAUCGAGACGAACAAAUAUCGCGCGGCGUUUUUAACGGUAUACAGUUAUAUACGGCGGCGGUGCAGUGUUUCGCUAUAGAAAUAAACGGUGUAACGGACGACUCCGGAUUCGUGUGUAACGUUAUGAAAGAUGAUCGCGGCGGAUAUUGGUAAAUUACCUCGUUCCCCCCACCCCCUCCUCCCUACGACAACGGGUUUUCCCCUACCGCGGAAAAACUUCCCGUUGUCCGGAUUGCGGUUACCGCUCUUUGUAUUGUUACCAUUUGAUAUCCGACGCGUACCGUAUCCGCGCGCGGCGUGCAUGCGUUUUUAAACUGCAGACGUACCGCCGCCGCGGUCCUUAACGCAACGACCGUGUCGAAAUUCCGCCGCAUUUAUCCGUGGACGGUUUAAAUACAACGGUUACGCUACUGCCGCCGCCGUGAAAUGUUAUUAUCAUUACGUAUACGAACGGUUUUAAUAAUAAUAAUAAUAAUAAUGCAUUUCAAUGCUCGGUCAAAAAUAUUGGAAAAAUCGAAUUUUAUCCGCGCGCGUUUGUACUCGUCAAAAGGGCUCGGGAAAAACCCGAAGACUUGCGGAGACUUGCCGCGUGUUGACUCUGGACCACCGGGAACAGAGAACAUCAUGGCCCAAUGAUGAACCGGUGAAUUAUUGUUCUGAUGACCGUCAAUAAUUAAAGAAAUUACGAAAAAGAUUGCUUGGAGAAAGGGCGUUUCGUUGGAAAAACUAAGUAAUCGGGGGAACUACGAUCGGGAAAAGGAGUUACUUAGGAAUAUCACGAAUAACAGACAUCAGAAUUGUGGAACCGUCAGAAAUACAAUGGUGGAAAGUAGCUUGGUAGAGAAAAAUUUAACGGUGGAUUUGUUUUGGGAGGAUCUGGUAUAAAGGGCCGAAACCCAAUAAGAAGAAAACGGUAAAUCUUUCAUCAAUAACAACAGUUUUGAUGCAGUGAUAAGAGUUGGUGAAAUUUGGAAAACGACACGUUUAAAACACGCUUGGGAUUCAAAAAAAACACGAAACUUUUUUAAAAUUGAAAGACAAUAUUGUCUGGAACAAAAAAAAAAAAAAAAAAAAUUAGAAAAAUGUCCAUUAGAUAUAUUUUAAAAGCGAAAAAACAAAGUGUAUUAUAAAUAUUCGUCGUCAUUGCUUUUAUAUGCCUGAAUAAUUUAUUAUAUCCACUUAUUUAAAUGCGUAUAAUAUAAUAAUGUAUGGCAUUUUAUUUUUAUUUAUUUUACUUUUAAGACUCCAAAUACUUUGUCCUAAAAUAUUUUAGUGGGCUUAUAUAUACUUACAAUAAAUAUUAACUUUUUGACGUUUCUCUGCAGGUGUAAUAGGUUUUCUGUCUUAAGCGUAAAAACGGUGUACUUUUCGUUUAAACACCUUUUCCCUUACUUGCAUGGGCAUUUCCCUCGUCGUAAAUUAAGAUGAAUAAUAACGCAGGCAACUUUUUCAAUUUACAGUUUGGAAAAUAGCAAUAUUGAUAUUAAUACUGUUAUUAAACUACGUGAAAUACGUCAUCGGUUAAAUUAAUAUCAAAUCACGUGCAACAAUGGUAAAACAGUUAUUUUGGAAAUUAAAAGUCGUGAUAUAAUAAUGAUAUUAUAUGAAUUUCUUUCCCGAUUGGCUUUGCGUUAUAACAUUAUUCAAUAGUUUUAGGCAAAAUGAAAUAAUGAAAAAUAAAGUGAAUGCCGUUCCAAAAAACGUUUAAACGUUAGGUUAGUCGGUGGCUUGCACGGGGGAAACGUUAGGUAUUCCAUCCUGCCGGUACAAUAAUUAACGUUAGGAUAUCCUAACUGCAUACCUUUCCACCGUUCGCUUAAAAAUACAACAAUUAUGAGUAUUUAUUUCGUAAUUUUAUUUUGGAACUAGCCGUCCCGUCCGCCGUUGCCCGUGACAAUUUUUUAUUAUUUGUUUUAUCCAUAUUACAUUUUGGUAUUGACCGUGUCGGUAGGUACUGGAUGAAAACGAAUAGGUGGAAAAUGGGUAGUCCACCUUUGGCGGACUAAAAGUGUUCUGUUGUGACGUCAUUUCAUGAUAUUCAUACCAAAAGUAUCUAAACACCGAAUCUUGGGGGAGGGGAGGAGAUUUCAAAGGAAAUGAAGCCUAACCUAACGUAUUGGGGAGCAGGGACACUCGACGGUGGGAGAGCGCGUGUACUGUAUUAUAUACUCGUCACUUGCAGAUGACACGGCGUUCCUUUUAUACCAUUAUGUACGUAUUUGCUGACAAUGUAUACUAAUACAAAAUUAAUAACUCGAUUGUUAAUCUAAAUGUAUUAUGUACACAAAUUAAUCGAAAUUUUGCCGGUGACGCACUGACGCAAUAGCCCGAAUACCAUCCGAAUUUCCAACUUUUCCGAUAGAUUUACCAAACAUUUUUUUUCAUACAAACCUCUUUUUUUAUUUAUCGACAAUUUGCUUUCGUUAUAAAAAAAAAAAAAAAAAUGUGACAGCAGAAUUGAACAUCGAUUAUCGGACUAUUUUUGUUGAUUUACGGGUUACCUUGGCGAUACGAAUGAAACUCAAAAAAAAAAUAAAAUAAGUAUUGCGAUUUUUAUACAAAAACCCCAUCCGAAUUCGCGAUUAUUCCGUAGAUUUUCUAAACGAUUUCUUUCAUAAAAACCUAGUCUUGACAAUCACGAAUAUGACGACAAGAAAAAAAAAAAAAAAAUUCACCAAAAUCGGUCGAGCCGUUCUCGCGUGAUGCGACGAACAAGCGAAUUAGGGUUUCACUGUUAUAUAUAUACAUAUUGAUUAUACAUUUUAAGUUCGAGUGUUGCUAUUAUUGCGUUCUGUGAUUGGAAUUGAUAUAAUGUUCGACUCUAUUUUUUUUUUUUUUUCUUUUUUAUAUUUACGGCAGUGCGGGUAAAUGGUUUCGAACUAUGUUACAAUACAUACUAUAUAGGUUUUAUAUUUUAUCGUCAAUAAUAAUAUAUUAUUAUGAUAGGUUACACUGAUAAAAUCGAUGCCAAAAUAAAUUUGCGUAUUUUAAUUUUUCAAUUUUUUAUUCUAUGUAAAUAAAGCUGAUAACUAAUAAUAAUUUAUCGAUUAUAAUAAUAUAAAUGGCUGCUUUUUUUUUUCAUUUUAAGUACCAAAUGCAUAUCUAUAACUAUAACCCAUUAUUUUUUGAUAUGUGGUUAUUAUACUUGCGCAUGUAGUUUUUUUUUUUUUUUUAUAUAAUAUACUUACCCGUAUUAUGCAUAAAACAUUUAAUGCGCUAAAUUAAUAUUCAAUUAUUAAAGUUAUAAUGUAUUUGAAUAAGUGUAUACUUACUAUCUUUAGAAUAUAAACAUAUCACAAUAAAUUAUGUAUUCCUGGUUGCUUUCCGAAUGUAAAAAAAAAAAUCCAAACUGUAAGAAUAUAAAAUAUUUGAAAAAUCUUGUUGAACGGUUAAGUUCUUGAUGUACUCGUAUCUACUGUUUCUUUUUAAAUCGCCGACAAAAAUACUUAAAAAGUUCGUUCAUCAGUUAAAUUACUCGCCUUUCCCUGUCCCGGGGAAGAAGGGCUUAAAUCAAUGUUUUGCAUUCGUUUCUAUAAUUUUGUUUUAUGCAAUUUUUUCCCAUCAAUUUUUGGUCAAAAUGACAUGCAUAAGUAUAUUCGACUUUUUAAUACUCAAGCAAUUAAUACAACAGUUUUGUAUCCACUUUUUUUUUUUUUUUAUUUGUUAACUCAGCACCCUCAAUACUUUCCUGUGCUAAACUUCUUAUAUUCGCCGAAGAUAUGAAACUCUUCCUCAAAAUAAAUUCAGUUUCUGAGCGCUGUAUUGGAAAUGUAUUGGUUUUACUACCUAUUAUAAGGGUUUCUUUUUAUAUUUUUAUAUUUUCUAUGUGUUACUUAUAUUUUUACAAAUAAUCUCGCUCUAAUUAAAAAAUUACAUCAACGCUUUUGUAGCAUUUUCGAUCUAAUUGGUCUACAUUGAGAGGUUAUUUUCAAACGGUUUUUAUAACAAUCGGGUAAACCCGGAAAACAAAUCAUUGGAAAAACGGACACAUUUACGACGGUAAAAGUUACAUUAUUAUUUCGAUUUUUUCGAUUUUGUUUCCCUACUAAAAAUUUGUUUUUACGCGAGGUUCGCCAUAAGUGGUAAAGAAAAAACAUUGAACGUACCUACCGCAGUAUUUUUUGUUUGUUUUUUUAAGCAUUUUAAGUUUGAACGAUUUAUUUUUUAUGUAAUAUUUUUAUUACCUAUAUAAUAUUUAUACAUUACUAUAUGAUAUUACAAUAACUUAAAAUACUGUUUUGAAAGUCACAUUUUAUGUAAAGGCGCUUCUACGGGUUUUUUUUAAACGUUUUUUUUUUCACUCUCGAGAACCAUCAUUUAUAAAAUAGAAUAAUAAUAAAAAAGAGAAAAGUUCAGUUCUAAAAACCUUCUAUGAAAAUCCUUUAUAUCAAAGUAAAAAAAAAAAAAAAAAGAACUAUUUUCGAAAAAGUCGCUACUUAUACUAUAAUAUCAAAAAUAAUAUAUACGAUGUCUUAUGUCUUAGGUUGGAACGAAGUUAAAAAUACAGUUUUCAAUUACAGAAUAUUGCAUUUUGAAUAUUAUUACGAGUACCUUUAUCUAUCCUUUAGCUAUUGAUCUUAUGGAUUAGAAAAAUAAUAAUAAUAACAUAAGAUAUCGCGUAGUAAAAAAUAAUACGUCGAUUGGUUUGAUUUAUAUAUUUUUAUUCGAUAAAUUAUGGAUUAAAUUCAUAUUUAUUGUUUUCGGUUUAACUCGAUCAUAUUAUUUAAAAAAAAUUAAUUAUUGUAAUGACCGCAAGUCGGGUGGAAAUUUGAUUCUAGUGACAGAGCUCGGCUAUUUACGGAAGUCUUUUUCCUUUACUAUAAUAUAGUAAAAUAAAUUAAAUAUUUUACCAAUUUUUCUUAAUAAAUAAAUAAAUUACGAUUAAAAAAGAUUUAUUUAGAUGAUUUAAUUGAUAAGAUGAAUAUGAUAAUACCUAUCAAACUUGUUGAUUUAGUACCAUUUAUGUGGUACAUCAUAUAAACCACCAUAAUAUUAUGCCGUGAUUUUAAUAUUGUUAGAGGUUACCUAUUAUAUAAUAUUGUAAAAAUUAGACUUAAUCAUAUCGAAGUGGUUAAUAUUUUGGCGAUUAUUUAUGUACUGCGUAAUUAAAUGUUUUACUUUUUUCUAUACUUUUUAUGAUUAUUUUUUCUCUCCAGCCAAAUUUUCCGUAUUUUCCGAUAAUUCUCAUUUUUUAAAGGACUUAUCGUAUGAAAAUAGAACCGUAAUAUUUAUUACAAUAUUUCGUGUUUGGAUAUAAAAAAACGCGGAAUGACUUGAUAAUCAUUUUUUUUUCUCAGUAUCUAUUCGACAAAACUUUAAACGCUAAUAAAUUAUUACAAACCAUUCAGUAUUUAUAUUGACGUUCUCAGAAAACGUGUACGAGUCCGAGUCAUUAUUUAACGAAAACGUUUUAUUUGUUUUUUUUUCAUUAUUCCAAGUAUAGGUCAUCUUCAAACCUUGUUAGUUACUCCCUCCAACGGCUCUAACCCAGCCAUUUCAUAUCUAUGUAGUUUUUGUUUUGCGGUUUUUAUUACAUUUUCUUUGACCGACAAACAAUCGUACAAUUUAAAGUCAAUAGGUAUUUAUCGUCUUCAUCAUUUUGUUUCGCUCUGCGGCUAAGAGCCAUAUCGCUUAUCAUAAAACCUCUUCACGAUUCUCAAUAUCGAAUUUAUUACAUUCUGCCCGACUCGUCGUUACCUGUAACCGAUCCACGUCUUUUUUUUUUUUUGUUUUAUCGUUCCAUCGCUUCUUAGUUCUGCCGGUCUCUUCCCAGUUGGAUUCCUGCAGCAUAUCGCUGAGUUUAUUCAUUCUGCGAACUCACAUUUCACAUUUUACGACCAUAUCGUUUAAUUGUUUUUGAUACUUUUUGUAAGAAAUCCGUAAUACAUGGCGACCUUUCGGUUCUUUCCGCAGUUCUUAUUUUAUCCCGCAUUGUUUUCCCGUACUCGUUUCUUUCCGUACCUGUAUUAAAAAAAAAAAAAAAAAAUAGGUAAUAGGUCCCACGUACAUUAUUUGGACCAUUGUCGGUUCAUAUAAAUAUCGAAUUUUUUUUUCAGACUCAAAACAUUAGAAACAGCGACCCGGCUAAUCGAACGCUGCGGGAUUUGCAUUGCUCGAGACGCGUGUACAUAUUUAUUAUUUUCGGAGACGACAAUCUUUUUUAGAAAUCAGAGUCGAGACGGUCGUUAAAAUUCCACGAUAAUAGUAAUAAUGUAAUAUGAUACACAGAGUUUUGUGAUGCUGGUAGCGUUAUUGGUAAUAAUAACGAUGAUGAUGAUGAUGAUAAUAAUAAUAAUAAUAAUAAUAAUAAUAAUACUAUUAAUAACAAUAAUGAAAUAUGCUAAACCGUCGUCGUCGUCGUCGUCGAAACGGUACAUUAUUGUUGUUUGUAUUACAAAAAUCGCCGACAAUAUCGUCGGGACGAUACGCGCUACGGGAUAAAUAUUUAAUAUUUUUUAUCACACGCUCUAGUUGCGCCGAAAUAAUAUUGUGCCGCCGCCCGCGGAGAGCCGAUUCUCUCUCCUUUUCGUUUUCGAGGAACCAAUUCGUCCCGUCAUACGGUUCGUUAUUGUACACUGCCAGCAACUACGCGGCGGUAUACGAUGUCCGUGCCGGUAUAACGAGCCGAAUAGCAUAAGACCGAGUAUAACGAGCCGUCAGAAAAGGGUUGUAGUCUCGUAAACGUCACGAUUCAUCAUCGGUUUUUUUUUUUGUUGUUGUUGUUGUAGUGGUGGUUUUAACUAUUUUUUUUUUUUUUUUUUUUUUUUUUUUUGUUAUACCAAUGGAAAAACAAACAAAUAAUACUACCGAGUAAUCUGUACGCGUACAUACGCCAGUACCCGUCAUAGGUAUCGAACAAGCCGGUCGCGGCUUUCCGAUGACACCGCCUUCCGACGUUUAACUUGACGGUGAAUCUGUCGGAAGAUUGUUGCGGAUGCGAACAUAACAUUUAGAUUCCUUCGGCAACGAAACACGAUCGCACACAAUUUUCCCGUGUUGUCGAAUACGAUAAGCACCUUAUAUUCGAGUUACAUAUAAAUCUCAAGACGGAAAUAAAAACGGACACACUUCGUACGUGGAUGAACCCCCGUUAUAAGUGACAAGUUGGAAAAGUAGAGGGGACAUUGAAUGUACGUUACAAUGAUCAACUAUUGCAUACGAAAAACGUUUCUGAGAGGAAUCCGGUUAAUAAUGUUGCUUUGUCAACGAUAUAUAUAUAUAUAUAUAUAUAUUAUAUAUUUGCAUCAUAUAUUUUCUUUAAUAAUAUUUGUUUAAUAUUGUACUUAUUUUCCCGUUUUCCUACGUUAUUUCCCCGUUUUUCCCAUUUAUCGUGAAAGCAGCUGGGAAAAUUUAAAGUUUGCCUUCAUAAAGUAUCACUCCAGGAAAAUUCCAUUUCAGAAACGGAGCUACAUUUGAUAUUCCGGAGCAAGAUUCCUGGUAAAAUUUUCGUACACAGUAUAAAAAUAAUAAACUUAGUUGUAAAACCAAUAAAUUCCUCGUUCCACUCAGAAUGUAAAAAAAACCCAAAUUAAUAUGAAAUGUCAAUUAGAAAAUCGAUAACAUAAACGUUGAAUUCAAUAGGAGUUUAGUUGAUAACGCUUCAUUUUGGAACAAGAUUAAUAAAAUAAAUAAUCAGUUUAGUUUUGGAUUAAAUUAUUUUUUAUUACUAUGAAAAACUGCUUGAUAAAUGAAAAAAAAUGGCUUCUACAAUGCAUCAACUAAAUACAAAAUGCUACAAACUAAUUGUUUUUUGUUUGGAGCAAGAUUUCUGGUUGUUCACAGAUUAAAAAGCACUCAUAAUAGUUAAAACAAUACUUUUCUCACCGUGCUCAGAAUCUAAAAUAGGCGAAAUAUAAUCUGAUUGUUUUUUUUUUUUUUAUAUCGAUUUAUAUGUUUAUAUACCUACAUUAUUAAUUACGCCGUUACACAUUUACAAAAGUAAAGUUUUAUGCGUAUUUUUAAUAACCAUAAUAAAAUGGCAAUGUAUACAAAUUUCAAAAGAAAAUUACAGUUUUAGUUCUCACCUCUGUACACUACCUAACCCGUCUAUGUAUAUUCUCAGUAUAAGUAUAAUGUACCUAUACUGAGAAUGCAUAUGUACCUGGUACAUAUUUGCAUCGUGCUCGUAAAAGCUCCUUAUGCGAUAUUAUAUAAUAUAUGAUAUAUAUACAAAAAAAAAAAAAAAAAAAAAAAAAAAAAAAAAAAAAAACGUAAAAGAAAUUUGACUACAUAAAGCGUUAUAAGUAAUAUGAUAAGAAGAAACGAAAUCGUGUUGAGAUAAAAAAUUGUUUGAUGUUAAAAAGUCAUUUUUAUGCCCAUCGAGCGCGCGCUCGAAAAUACACCCUCGAAAUUGUUUUUGGGUUCAACGUACCUGUCCCCUACAGAAUAUUAUGAAUCUAGAUCGUGAUCCCUAAGAAAACGCGGUAUAUGGAAUAUUUUGUAUAUCGUAUGCAAGCAAAUAUAAAGGUAUACUGUGAUAAAACUGGCAUAUUAUCCAUUUAUGUUCAUUAUAUGUGCUCGGGUAAUUUAAUUUUGUCGAGACUCGGAAAGAAAAAAUCAAUCAUAUAUGUACAACUUUUUUGUUGGGAGGAGAGGAGGGUACACAAGGAUCAGACUGCAGCGUUAUUAUCACAUUUUCGCUUUUGAAAACAAUUGUUUUUUCACAUUUUUAGCGAUGCCGUCGAAUAGAGAAUUUGAUUCAUUCAAUCGUGAUAUUUUAAUAGGUAUAAUAUUACUAUGUCGAUAAAUUCGCUGUAAACGUCGCGUUAUGAAAUUGCACUUGCAUUAUAUUUUAUUCGCUUACUCUCGUCAAAAAUAAUAGAAAAUGACUAGGACCUCUUUAAAAAAAAAAAACAAUAGACAUCUUUAUCCGCCCAGUUUAAUCCCUUUUCACUUAAUUACCUUUAUUUAAGUAGGUACUAUGCACGCUAAUAGUUCUUAAUUAGUCGUUCUAAUUAUAUAAUUUAAUUAACAACUCAACUGCAGCACUCGAAUAAUAAUAUCGACGAUAAGCGUAAUUGCACAAAAGGAUUUACGCAAUGUUGUUUUCGUGAAAACACGCUGUAGGGUACACGCUUAUUUAUGAAUUUGAGCAACAAAUAUUGUGAUUUUAUGAGCACAAAACAAAUCAGAUUCGACCGUUCAAAAUACCGAUCGCUUCGUUUGCGAAAAUCUGCUUUGCAAGGUUCUCUUAUUUAUAAUAUGUUCACAGAUCCGGAAAUUAACAGAAAUAACUUAUUACCCAAUUUUUUUUUUUUUUUUUUAAUUUAUGUUUGUUUUUAUAUACCAAAGUGUUAAAAACUAUUUCACAAAUCCGAUUUAAUUUAACAAUUCUUUUACUAUCGAAUCGAGACUUGUACGCCAGGUCUUAAGGUACGUAUAGUACCUGUAAAUGGCGAUGUCGGCAUCUCUAAUAUCUUAUAAAAAAAAAAAAAAAAACAAAAAACUGCAUUAAACACGGUCACGAUAAUUAUCUGUACGUUUUUCAAACCGCAUACCUAACACACUUUUUAAUUUUAAGGUAUACGCGCGUAUUUGUGUUAUUUUUAUAGGGUUUACGCUAAUUCAUCAAAUGGUAAGUAGGUAUAUGCCGUGCACACGCGUAAACCUUCCGAAAUACCACUGGACUUACGGGUAUCUACUUAGUUUAUUGUGUUGUACCUGCACUAUCCAUCUACAUUAUAGUAUAGAACUUAACGUUUUUGUCCAAAACGAUCUUCAAUUUUCAACAACAACAAUUUAUUUAUAAUGUAUCUUCUUCUUUUGUCUAGCGUCGCAGCUCUGUAAGAUAAAAAAUAUAUAGAGCGCGCGUAUUUUGCAUAUAAAUUUUUAAUAUACGUGAUGUAACGCGAAGUUUUAACACCUGAAACAACUUUGUUCUGUUCAUAAUAAUUUAAUGUAAUCAUUUCUAGAGCCUCGCGCUAUAUGAUUUAUCUAUUUUUUUUUUUUUUUUUUUACAAAAUUAUUUUUCACGUACCAAUUAAUGAAUCGAUUGAUGUUAUUUAUAAUAGUAGUGGCACGAAAACAAUUUAAAUUAUCGAAAGUUUCAAAAAAAAAAAAAAAAAAAAAAUUAUAGACAAUUUACGAUUCAAUAAUUAGUAAAUAUUUGUUUCAAAAUCUCAUAUAAUAAAAUGGCUAUUUUGGUUAUUUUAUAAAAUUAACUUAAUUAAUUAAUUAAUUAAAAUUAAUCAGUUUCAAUAAGUAAUUAUAAUUAUUAGGUAACCAGUAUAGAACUGUUAAAAGAAAAAUAACAAUGUAAAAAUAUUGAACAAAACAAAAGUUAUUUCAUGCGUCAGUUUUUCGUGGUGUUUUAAUAUUAAAAACCAAUAAAAUAGUAAAUUUUCCAUUAUUAUGCAUUGUUGUAUUCGUUAAAUUUAACACGGAAUAAAAACCGUGAGAACUUCCGUAGCAGUGAUUUCUAUUAAGAUGCAAAUUUUAUACAAUAUUAUAUUAUUUCACAUAAUUUUAAUAGUAUAAUACGAAAAUUAAUUUUCUUUCGCAAACGUUAUUAAUUAAUUAAUUAACUAUGAAUUCAUAAAUUAUAAUACUACUCUCACUGCGCGCGAUUUUUCGCACGAAUAUUUUAUUUUAACAAGCCAACUGCGAUAUUCAUAUAUUAAACGGAUAAAAGAAAAAAAAAAAUGGAUUUAAAGAAUAAUUUAUCCGACGAAUGUUUUUUUUUUUUUAUAUUUAAUUGCGAAUUUCGUAUUAGUUAUACUAUAAACUCGAUAUUAUUAUUUUCUGGAAUUUAAUACUUUCUGUUUUUUUUUCGCUGGCAUCACAAUAGCACUCCGCUUUACUCUUUAUUCUGAACUAAUCAGAUAUAUUCUUUCCGUUUUUCUACUUCCAUUCUACCGAGAUCCUUCAUUUACAACAUCCAUCCGUAUUAUCCUAGGCUGAUGGCUAAACUUAUGACCGUUACCGUUUAUUCUUGUGUCUCUUUGCGAAACUUUCUUCUCCACACCAUUUUCAUAUUAUCAUCAUUUUGUUGAGGCCUACCAAUACUCUAUUUUCGAACGGUUUUUCAGCAUUAUUUAUUCAGUAAGACACUAAACUGUGUCACUUAUUAUCACGGCCAUAUGAAAUUACCGUGUUUGGUUUUCUACGAGAAGAAUUUUUACACAAGGAAUUCACUUGUUAACAAUAUCAACGUUAUUUAAGCAUUAUAUAUUUUGUGUGUUUUAAAUGUUUAUUUCAUAAAAGAAACGACUCCGGAGUGCACCGGCAUUUAUAUAAUUUACGGAUUUUUUACUCUCUGUGUACCGCUGUUGGAAAUAUUUUAAUAGAAGCGAAUAAUAUAUGUAUAUAUAUGGUAAACGAUACACAGUAUGCAACGCGAUUCACAAAACGAAUUAUAUUACAAUAUUUAUCUUUGUAAAAUACUCAUAUUUCGUCGGCCUUAAUUCGAGACGAGACGAUGAAAGAGAAAAUAAAUAUCUAUUUGCCGAAAGCCAUCAUCAACGCGCAAUCGUCUGUCUUGUGCACAAACUCGGUUCCUUAAUUUUACAAUAUAAUAUUAUCGUCAAAAGAUACAUAAAUUUUAUGUUUAUCCGAUUAAAUAUUUAAAAGCUCGACGGACGAUAUUUCGCUCGUCACGGAUAAUAAUUCCAGUCACGGAUUAUAGUGUCUGCAGUUUCGUAUUUUCACAAUACAAUUUAUCAUCGCUUUUUUUCCCUCGCGAAGACUCCGGGGAACCACACGGUUCCCUAAAGAAAAUAAGUAUUACGUUAUAUUAUUUUGUAGUGGCAUCAGAAACAUGAUAUUUCGUUAAUUCUUCAUUUAUUUUGUUAUAUCUGCAGAGAGCGCGUGGUUUUUUUUUUGUCAGAAUAAUAACAAUAUGUUCUUUUUUGUUCGUAUUAUUUUUAUACUGUAUACACAGCAGCAGCUUAUCCAUCACGCGCGCGUAAAACUUUGGGUUAUUUCGGCGCGUAAAUCGUAUUUAUGGCCAAAUGUUUUGGACAACGUCCCGCGGGUUAAGUUUGUAAAGCCCCGUCCCGCGUCGCCCCGCUAGCUACGCUGCAGCAGGCAUCGUGUCGUUUCAUCGCAGCACGAUUCCCCGGGGGAAACGAUAUCCCGAAAUUCCAAUUCUGGUCGACCAACCGAACAUACAGCGGGAAAUUGCGGCGAUGGGUUACAUAUUAUACGGCUACGGCAUAAAAAUCUAACGUUUAAUCGAAGCCUUUUUGAAAAGAAAAAAAAAAAAAUAACACCCGUGAGCAAUAGAGCUCCGCCACUGGAAUCGAAUUUCUCCCCUCACCUAUUUUGUAUUAUAGAAAUAUUCCUCGUGAAACAAUAAAUAACCGAAUGCUAUAUAAAAAUAAUACAGAACCUACUAUACUAUACAACUACAACAAUACUACUUCCGAUUUUUUUUUUUUUUUAAAUUCGAGUAUAAAAAUGGUAAAACGGCUCCACCGCUACCACAUUCGUGGACGAUUAAUCAGCUAUUUACGUGCUGUCAUUUGAGAACUAAAUUUUAAAACUCAUUUGAGGUCCAAGGGACAGUGGUAAACAGUGUUAAAACAAAUCUCGAACAAUAUAAUUUCAUGUUGAUUGAAAUCAACAGAAAUCAAAUUUGCUUAAAAUCCACCGAGACAAUUGCCGGAUCACUAUACGAAUUCGUCCGUAUAGUAGGAAAUCGAAUGAAUACAUUUUGCGGCCAACACAAUAAUAAUAAUAAGCGCGUGUCGGACAAUAUUGUUAUACAUUUAUAAUACGGUAAACGGAUAAACUAUGCGCUAUUUCGAAUUAAAAUGCCGAGGGCGAAAACGUUCAACAUAUUAUAAUAUUAUACAAAUUACAAUGGGCGCGCUGCGUUUAAUAUCCUUAUACAACAUACAGAAGGCUCGUUGAAAUGAAUCGUUUCAAAGGGUCACGACGAGAAAACAUACUGAACUGCGUAUAGUAUAAUACCGCAAACAAAAGACAUUUCGAACCGCGGCGGAAAGUUUAGCAGACUAUUUUUUCGUCAACUGGCAUAAAUUAUAAUAUAUUACCAUGACAAACGAAUAUCGACUUAAGAGACGUCGCACGUUAUCCAAAACAACCUUUACUCGCAUUUGAUUUCGUACCGAUGUAGCUAUAGAUAACUGACGAGAAUUAUAAUUAGCGUUAAUCAGACAAUCGGUAAAACAAACGUUACAUCCGAUAACAGUUCAAUUCCGCCGAAUUACGGUACCCAAGAUGUCUAGAACAAUAAAAUGCGCUUAAACUUAGGAGUGUUAUAAUAUUACCGAAAUUGGGUUGUGUUUUUUAAAUUCGAUACCUAGUAUAUAAAUCGUACAUGACAAGAGUAUUUAUUUAUAUCGCUCGAUCAUUAUGUUAGUUUAAUGACUUCAAUGGACCCCAUCACUCGUUCCUAUUCGUCUCAGCUACAUUUCGGUUCUUUGUUAAUGGUUCUUCUCGUGUCUUCUACGAUCAGUUUCGUAAACGGAGUUCUUGGCAUACUUCUCACAUACAUGCUUGCUCUUUUCGCAAUACCAUAACUAACUCGUAAUACUCGAAUAGCCCGUGGAAACCGAACGUUCGAUAUCACUAAUAAAGACGUUAAUAUUUGUGUUUUGUUUUUUUAUUUUUAGAUCUCUACGAUAUAAGAUACAAAAGUCAUAUAGAAUCAAUCAUGGGUUGUUUUUGUACUAGCGCCCGGACGCACCAUUGCAAAAUCGUGUUGCUCGACGACCAAGAAUUCGUGCACGAAAUACAGGUAAAAUUAUUGUAUAAAUUAUAAUAUUAUACAGUAGACGGUUUUAUGACAAACAAAUUACACCGGAAAAAUGUAGUUUAAAACGUGACGUAUACAAUAAAAUAACAAAUUAAAAUAAUAUU